AGGGCACCACCAGGAGUGGAGCCUGCGGCUUAAUUUGACUCAACACGGGAAAUCUCACCAGGCCCGGACACUGGAAGGAUUGACAGAUUGAGAGCUCUUUCUCGAUUCGGUGGGUGGUGGUGCAUGGCCGUUCUUAGUUGGUGGAGUGAUUUGUCUGGUUAAUUCCGAUAACGAACGAGACUCUAGCCUACUAAACAGAUCGUCGGCUUACAAACGCCGACGAGACUUCUUAGAGGGACAGGCGGUGAUUCAACCGCACGAAACAGAGCAAUAACAGGUCUGUGAUGCCCUUAGAUGUUCUGGGCCGCACGCGCGCUACACUGAAGGGAUCAGCGUGUCUUCCCUUCCCGAGAGGGACGGGUAACCCGCUGAACCCCCUUCGUGGUAGGGAUCGGGGCUUGCAAUUAUUCCCCGUGAACCAGGAAUUCCCAGUAAGCGCAAGUCAUAAGCUUGUGUUGAUUACGUCCCUGCCCUUUGUACACACCGCCCGUCGCUACUACCGAUUGAACGUUUUAGUGA
RNAcentral lists this ribosomal RNA (519 nucleotides) under uncultured eukaryote. RNAcentral describes it as "bacterial SSU rRNA". It matches the Rfam family "Eukaryotic small subunit ribosomal RNA", at positions 1161 to 1704 of the family's 1831-position model. The record is from RNAcentral.